RNAcentral lists this ribosomal RNA (497 nucleotides) under uncultured bacterium. RNAcentral describes it as "partial 16S ribosomal RNA". It matches the Rfam family "Bacterial small subunit ribosomal RNA", at positions 28 to 507 of the family's 1533-position model. The record is from RNAcentral.
GAUGAACGCUGGCGGCGUGCCUAAUACAUGCAAGUCGAGCGAACAGAUGAGGAGCUUGCUCCUCUGACGUUAGCGGCGGACGGGUGAGUAACACGUGGAUAACCUACCUAUAAGACUGGGAUAACUUCGGGAAACCGGAGCUAAUACCGGAUAAUAUAUUGAACCGCAUGGUUCAAUAGUGAAAGACGGUUUUGCUGUCACUUAUAGAUGGAUCCGCGCCGCAUUAGCUAGUUGGUAAGGUAACGGCUUACCAAGGCAACGAUGCGUAGCCGACCUGAGAGGGUGAUCGGCCACACUGGAACUGAGACACGGUCCAGACUCCUACGGGAGGCAGCAGUAGGGAAUCUUACGCAAUGGGCGAAAGCCUGACGGAGAAACGCCGCGUGAGUGAUGAAGAUCUUCGGAUCGUAAAACUCUGUUAUUAGGGAAGAACAAAUGUGUAAGUAACUAUGCACGUCUUGACGGUACCUAAUCAGAAAGCCACGGCUAACUACGUG